Urocitellus parryii (Arctic ground squirrel) is the source of this 3615-nucleotide RNA transcript. It is a transcript of the gene named LETM1 domain containing 1, with no coding region annotated. Lineage: Eukaryota; Metazoa; Chordata; Mammalia; Rodentia; Sciuridae. The record is from RefSeq and is a predicted model, not a curated record.
CCCCUCCCUCGCUGUGAAAAUGGCGCUGUCCAGGGUGUGCUGGGCACGGACUGCGCUUUGGGGUUCGGUCGUCACCCCUGGACCCUUUGUCAUUCGGAGACUGCAACUUGGUCGCCCUGGCUUUGCUUGGGGAGCCCCUUGGUCGUCAAAGCUUCACCUUUCUCCAAAGGCAGACGUGAAGAGUUUGAUCUCUUAUGUUGUGACCAAGACAAAAGCGAUUAAUGGGAAAUACCAUCGUUUCUUGAAUCGUCAUUUCCCCCGCUUCUAUAUCCUGUACACAACCUUCAUGAAAGGAUUUCAGAUGUUAUGGGCUGAUGCCAAAAAGGCUAGAAGAAUAAAGAUAAAUAUGUGGAAGCACAAUAUAAAGUUUCAUCAACUUUCAUACCGGGAGAUGGAGCAUUUGAGACAGUUCCGCCGAGACAUCGCCAAGUGUCUUUUCCUAGGUAUCAUUUCCAUUCCACCCUUUGCCAACUACCUGGUCUUCUUGCUAAUGUACCUAUUUCCAAGGCAACUACUGAUUAAACAUUUCUGGACCCCAAAACAACAAACUGAUUUCUUAGAUAUCUAUCAUGGUCUCCGGAAGCAGUCCCACUCAGAAAUCCUUAGUAAUUUAGAGAGGGUCAUUCCUCUCAUUUCUGAUCCAGGACUUCGGUGGCAUUUGACAGACCUGUGCACCAAGAUACAGAAUGGUACCCACCCAGCUGUACAUGAAAUCCUGGCUCUCAGAGAGUGUUUCUGUAACCAUCCUCUGGGCAUGAACCAGCUCCAGACUUUGCAGAUGAAAGCCUUGAGCCGGGCCAUGCUUCUCACACCUCACCUGCCUCCUCCCUUUUUGAGGCAUCGUUUGAAGACUCAUACCACUGUUAUUCACCAGCUGGACAGGGCUUUGGCAAAGCUGGGGAUUGGCCAGCUGACUGCUCAGGAAGUAAAAUCGGCUUGUUAUCUUCGUGGCCUGAAUUCUACCCAUAUUGCAGAAGACAGGUGUCGAACUUGGCUGGGAGAAUGGCUACAAAUUUCCUGCAGCUUGAAAGAAGCUGAGCUGUCCCUCUUGCUGCACAACGUGGUCCUGCUUUCCACCAACUACCUUGGGACAAGGCGCUGAGAGAACUGUGGAGUGGAUGGCAAUGUCCUGCAGUCGCGUAGCAUAGCAGUGUGGGACCAAACAGCACUUGUCAGCAGAGUCUGUGCACUUCUCAGCAAUCCAACUGUAACCAACAGUGGCUGCCUUCUUUGGGCCAUGGGUCAAAACCCAUAAGGUACUAAUUACUGCCCAGCCCUGGGAGACCAGGAAGAUCUGCAUCAAGAUAGUAAGUUGGGUUUAGCUUUUGUGUGUACAUUCUUGACCUAUAGUUCUGUAAUAACUUAUUGUAAAUGCAUGGAGCACUGUUUUAAACCCAAGUAAAGACUGCCUGAAAUCAGUUGAUGGAAAUUACUUAUGCACACUCUAAUCAUUUUGCUAAGGCUCCUUUUCCAAGACUGACAUAACCUAACUAAUGGGGAUUUAAUUGGUUGAUAUAGAUCCUUCUGACAGAAGUUUUAAAGGAAUUGAUUUUAAGUUGAUCGUUGGGUGGAUAUUUUAAGGUGGUAACCAGGAAAAGAGAAAAUGGGAAUACAGUCAGCGUGAAGGUCUAACAAGGCAGAAGCAAAGCCUGCUUCAGUUGAAGAGGUACGUAAGAGCACCUGAGGCAAGAUAGGCUGAAGAGAACAUUCUACAUUUCUAUCACAAAGUGUUUCUUUUGUUAACCUUAAUUCCUAACUGACCUAAUUAGUUUCAUAUGCAAAGCUGGAGAAGCAUCUUUUUCUAACAAGUAACUAAAUUGUGGCUGGCCAAGAUAAAGAAUAACACACCAUUCUUUUGAAUAUUUCUUUAAUAUUACAUUUAAAUAUUCUCUUUAAAUACAGCAUUAUCACAAUGUAAAGAACCUAAAGGGGGAAAAUUGUUUUCAGAGAACCAGACGAGCUUUGGAUUCACAUUGAAAAUACUACUUGUAUACAGUAUGUGAGAAAGGAAACUGGAAAAUAAGAAUUAUGUUAAUAAGAAUCAUUUUUUUUUAAUCAAGGCCAAGACUAAGUGGGAUUGAAGCAAUCUGCUUCUAUGAUCAGAGGCCUAGCUCUCCUAGCAACCAUGAGCUAUAAUUUUGUCCAACUCGGGUAGCACCAGAAGUGAGAUGGACUAGGCUGUAGAAAAGGCCCUUUGCUUGACAACAGUUAAUGCUAAAUGUUAAUAUUUAGCAUUCAGAAGUUUGGGGUCAGCAUGAAUCAGAAUUGUAGAGUUAAUGAAGGGAUGGACUUAGAUUAAGAAACUAGAGUUUUGUAGAAAUAUCAUGUAUCUUACCUUAUGGAUUGGCAAUGAGUUUAAUAAUAACAAAUUUAAAUUCAUUUGAUCCCAAAGGCUAAUGUAUUUCUUAGUGAGCUGUUGGAAUCCACUUCCUAAAUUAAGCGGGAGGCUUCCUACGGAGGGAGUGUAUAGAGCUCUCCCUCUCCUAACAAACUUGAGAAAAUAUUUUUUUCCAUAGAACUAAAAUCCCAAGUAAGUUUCAGUCUUAUGUUGCAUGGUUCCAGUCUAAGGUCGGGGAGUGCAGCUCAGUUUGGAAAAGCAUCUAUUUCAUAUAGAUUGAAGGUACUUAAGAUUCAAUUAUUUUGUGAGGCUGGGUGAUGGGGAGAGAUAUGGACCUAUGUAACUUAAGACCUUCCCUCCAAACAUAAAACCAAGCAAAAACAGGAAUGAACAGGAAAGGCGGAAUGGGUUAAAAUAUUUAUCUGUAUUAAAUAAAUACAAGGCCCUCAGGCUUAGAUUUUAUAAGUGAAAUGCUGCUGCCACAUACCUGAAGGCUGCUUUAACGUACCAGGGCCUGGCUAUCCCCCAAGAAAAGGCUUUAUGAGCAAGAUAAGUAAGAAUAAUUAUCUCCUCCACUCUCCCUGCCCACCAGAAGUGUUUUUUAACUGGUUAAUAAAUCAUACCAGAUGUGAAGUAUGGUGUUAAAGAUGCUAAAGAAUAGUGUUUUGCUCCCUACCAUUUUCAUUUUAAAACAGAGGCAAAGGUCACUUUGCCUAUAAAAUAAAUCAGUGUUGAUCAUGGAGCAGAUCUUGAUUGAAACAUAAACAUAAAAGGAACAGGAACCAUUGACAGAGGUAAGAACUGAAUUUGAGUCCCAUUUUAUACAUUUCAAAGGUUACAAUCAGAUCUUAAUCCUUUGGAACCUGGAAAUUCUACGUGGCAUCUAAGAAUUGGUAGAUUCCAAUUUUAUGUCUCAUCAAGCAGCAAUAAACAUUUGCAAUUCUUGGGGUUGAACUGGAGUAGUAUAAGAACUGUGUAACCCUGUAUAUCAAAGAAGGACCAUGAGUGUGCAUACACAAAAAAAGAACAAAAACUAGUCGGUGACCUUAAAUUGCCACGUCUUACAUUACAUUUAAAGCUCAGAUCUCCCAAAGAGGGGGGAAAAAAACCUGUGUGAAAAAGUAAGCAUGACACAAAUAAAGUCAUCUUUCCAGACAGCAGGUUGUUCCUGCAGCCUCCUUUGGAUAUAGUUAAUGCUCCAUAUAGGCUUCCUAGGGGAUGGGUGAGCCCAGCCAGAAACUGCCCAACAGAGCUCAUGUUAAGACGAUGGCAGAAGC